AUGUCGGCCUACUGCGGAAAGUACAAGGAUGAGCUCAUCAAGAACGCUGCCUACAUUGGCACCCCUGGCAAGGGUAUCCUUGCUGCCGACGAGUCCACCGGCACCAUCGGCAAGCGCUUCGCCAGCAUCAACGUUGAGAAUGUUGAGGACAACCGUCGCGCCCUCCGUGAGCUCCUCUUCUGCACCCCUGGAGCCCUCCAGUACCUCAGCGGCGUGAUCCUCUUCGAGGAGACCCUGUACCAGAGCACCAAGGGUGGCAAGCCCUUCGUCGACAUCCUCAAGGAGGGCAACGUCCUCCCUGGCAUCAAGGUGGACAAGGGUACCGUCGAGCUCGCUGGAACCAACGGUGAGACCACUACCCAGGGCUUUGAUGACCUUGGCAAGCGCUGUGCCAAGUACUAUGAGGCUGGUGCCCGCUUUGCCAAGUGGCGUGCUGUCCUCAAGAUUGGCCUCACCGAGCCAUCACAGCUUUCCAUCGACCAGAAUGCUCAGGGUCUGGCUCGUUAUGCCAUCAUCUGCCAGGAGAAUGGGCUGGUGCCCAUUGUUGAGCCUGAGAUCCUUGUUGAUGGACCUCAUGACAUUGACCGCUGUGCUUAUGUGACCGAGAUGGUCCUUGCUGCCUGCUACAAGGCUCUCAACGACCAGCAUGUCCUCCUUGAGGGUACCCUCCUGAAGCCCAACAUGGUUACCCCUGGUUCCGACGCCAAGAAGGUAGCCCCUGAGGUGAUUGCUGAGUACACCGUCCGCACCCUCCAGAGGACCGUCCCUGCUGCCGUCCCUGCCAUUGUCUUCCUCUCCGGUGGACAGAGUGAGGAGGAGGCGACCCUGAACCUGAACGCCAUGAACAAGCUCCAGACCAAGAAGCCCUGGAACCUGUCCUUCUCCUUCGGGCGUGCUCUCCAGCAGAGCACCCUCAAGGCCUGGGCUGGCAAGGCGGAGAACGAGGAGAAGGCCAGGAAGGCGUUCCUGGUGAGGUGCAAGGCCAACUCCGAGGCCACCCUCGGCACCUACAAGGGCGAUGCCACCCUUGGCGAGGGCGCCUCCGAGAGCCUCCACGUCAAGGACUACAAGUACUGA
RNAcentral lists this ribosomal RNA (1077 nucleotides) under Triticum aestivum (bread wheat). RNAcentral describes it as "partial small subunit ribosomal RNA". The record is from RNAcentral. Lineage: Eukaryota; Viridiplantae; Streptophyta; Magnoliopsida; Poales; Poaceae.